UACGUAGGUGGCAAGCGUUGUUCGGAUUUAUUGGGCGUAAAGUGAGCGCAGGCGGUUUCUUAAGUCUGAUGUGAAAGCCCACGGCUCAACCGUGGAGGGUCAUUGUAAACUGGGGAACUUGAGUGUAGAAGAGGAGAGUGGAAUUCCAUGUGUAGCGGUGAAAUGCGUAGAUAUAUGGAGGAACACCAGUGGCGAAGGCGACUCUCUGGUCUGUAACUGACGCUGAGGCUCGAAAGCGUGGGUAGCAAACAGG
This 253-nucleotide ribosomal RNA is filed under the name uncultured bacterium. Its description in RNAcentral is "partial 16S ribosomal RNA". It matches the Rfam family "Bacterial small subunit ribosomal RNA", at positions 524 to 776 of the family's 1533-position model. The record is from RNAcentral.